Long non-coding RNA from Amphimedon queenslandica, 192 nucleotides. RefSeq lists it as uncharacterized. The transcript is spliced from 4 exons. The record is from RefSeq and is a predicted model, not a curated record. NCBI's taxonomy places the organism in Eukaryota, Metazoa, Porifera, Demospongiae, Haplosclerida, Niphatidae.
UGGAAAGUGAUCGUAGAUUACAAAACAAGUUUCAUGGAAGUCAAUCAAUUACUGUAGCCACAAUUCAUCAUCUUCUUGCCAACUCAUUGACUCACAUUGGAGCAUUUGCUGAAGCUAAGCAAAAUAAGAGAAAAGCAUACAAUAUCUAUAGGACUAAAUUUGGCCCAGAUCAUGCACGUACUGUUCAGUCUU